This 184-nucleotide unclassified non-coding RNA is filed under the name Aconitum nipponicum. RNAcentral's name for it is "partial miscellaneous RNA". The record is from RNAcentral. Lineage: Eukaryota; Viridiplantae; Streptophyta; Magnoliopsida; Ranunculales; Ranunculaceae.
CCCAGUCAACAAAGUUGUUGGGGAGUGGAGAUUGGCCCCCGGGCCUUGCGGGCACGGUUAGCACAAAUGUUGGUCCCCGACGGCGAGUGGCGAGUGUCGCGAUCAGUGGUGGUUGUAUUUCUCAUCCUCCAAAGACACAAGACGCGUCUUCCUCGUUGCUUGUUGGGACGUAUCGACCCCAUGA